ACUUGGAUAUCUUAAUUUAAAAAAGUUUAAUUUUGAAGAAAUUAAUAUAGGUUUUAUUACCUUCCAAGUG
RNAcentral lists this transfer RNA (70 nucleotides) under Dalsira scabrata. RNAcentral describes it as "tRNA-Phe". Lineage: Eukaryota; Metazoa; Arthropoda; Insecta; Hemiptera; Pentatomidae. The record is from RNAcentral.